RNAcentral lists this ribosomal RNA (1431 nucleotides) under Triticum aestivum (bread wheat). RNAcentral describes it as "partial small subunit ribosomal RNA". Lineage: Eukaryota; Viridiplantae; Streptophyta; Magnoliopsida; Poales; Poaceae. The record is from RNAcentral.
AUGUCUUGGACCAAUUAUGUAUCAUGUGAACAUUUUAAGUUUUGCACAAAAGAGAAAAAAAAAACAUUUUUGGAGUUGGUGGAAACAAUGAGAAGCCUCUUGACUUGCAACUCUGUCAACAUCUUAGCUACUGCUUUCUCCCUUUUCUUUCCUGCCCAUUUGCUCAGCUAUAUAUUUGCAGCAUUUGCUGUGUUUAUGAUUACUUGCUGCAUGCCACUAUUAGACAGCAAGCCAAUCUCUUCCUUGUCCAUAGUAGGCUACCACAACAUGGGAGAGAACAGGAAGUUUGGACAAAUCAUCCUGCCAAGGAUGACUACAAAUAAGAUACUGCACCACCAGGAGCUACAUGGCGAUCAAUCCAUCUCUGAUGUUUCAGGCAUAGUGGAUGAGACCUUGGGAAAGAGUCCCUUGGAUAGGCAGGAUACACUGAAAUACAGGGUGUUUGCUAGUACUUGGAAUAUUGGCGGCAUAGCACCAACAGAUGAUCUGGACUUGGAGGAUUGGUUGGAUACAAGAGCUAACUCCUAUGACAUCUAUGUUCUAGGGUUCCAAGAAAUAGUGCCACUGAAUGCAGUAAAUGUGCUUGGUCCUAGCAAGAGGUGUAUCUCUACAAAGUGGAACUCACUAAUUGGGAAGGCACUAAACAAAAAGAAGACACGAGACGGAGCACAGUUGCAGCAUACAACUACAAAUAGUAGUGCAAUGGAAAGCUUUGGACAAGAGGAGUGCUUUAUAUGCAUCAGGAGCAAGCAGAUGGUGGGCAUCUUUACCUCAGUCUGGGUGAGAAGCAAUCUUAGGUUAUACAUUCACCAUCUGGAUGCGUCAUGUGUUGGUUCGGGUAUCAUGGGCUAUCUAGGGAACAAGGGUUCAGUAUCAGUUCGAUUUCUGCUGCAUGAGACGAGCUUUUGUGUUGUUUGUUGUCACCUGGCUUCAGGUGGCAAACAAGGGGAUGUGCUGCUGAGGAAUUUUGAUGCAGCGGAUAUACUUGCAAGGACGAGAUUUCAUGGUGGUGGUGGUGGAAAUAAAAAACUGCCAAAGAAAAUCCUCGAUCAUGACCAAGUAGUUUUGCUCGGUGACUUGAAUUAUAGGAUAUCACUGGAAGAGCCUGAGACAAGGUUGCUGGUGAAAGCUAAGAACUGGUCCACCUUGUUAGAGAACGAUCAGGAAGGGCCGGUCACCUUCUCUCCCACCUACAAGUACCAGCCAAACUCUGAUCAGUACUACUGGUGCUUCGAAGCAGCGCGAGGGGAGAAGAAGCGUGCUCCCGCAUGGUGUGAUCGCAUUCUUUGGCGCGGCAAGGGCCUGAAACAAAUCCAAUAUGGGACCUGCGACUACAAGUUGUCAGACCACCGGCCGGUGAGAGCUGGUUUCAUUGCUGAGUGCAGGAUCAGGGGAGAUGCGGAGGACUCUAUUGGUGGCUUCAUGCGCUGA